RNAcentral lists this long non-coding RNA (204 nucleotides) under Mytilus galloprovincialis (Mediterranean mussel). Lineage: Eukaryota; Metazoa; Mollusca; Bivalvia; Mytilida; Mytilidae. The record is from RNAcentral.
CAGGAUCUGCUUACCCUUCCGGAGCACCUGCGAUCACCCCUAGUUUUUGGUGGGGUUCGUGUUGUUUAUUCUUUAGUUUUCUAUGUUGUGUCAUGUGUACUAUUGUUUUUCUGUUUGUCUUUUUCAUGUUUAGCCAUGGCGUUGUCAGUUUGUUUUAGAUUUAUGAGUUUGACUGUCCCUUUGGUAUCUUUCGUCCCUCUUUUA